This 505-nucleotide ribosomal RNA is filed under the name uncultured bacterium. Its description in RNAcentral is "partial 16S ribosomal RNA". It matches the Rfam family "Bacterial small subunit ribosomal RNA", at positions 28 to 507 of the family's 1533-position model. The record is from RNAcentral.
GACGAACGCUGGCGGCGUGCCUAAUACAUGCAAGUAGAACGCACAGUUUAUACCGUAGCUUGCUACACCAUAAACUGUGAGUUGCGAACGGGUGAGUAACGCGUAGGUAACCUGCCUGGUAGCGGGGGAUAACUAUUGGAAACGAUAGCUAAUACCGCAUAAUAUUGAUUAUUGCAUGAUAAUUGAUUGAAAGAUGCUAUUGCAUCACUACCAGAUGGACCUGCGUUGUAUUAGCUAGUAGGUGAGGUAACGGCUCACCUAGGCGACGAUACAUAGCCGACCUGAGAGGGGGAUCGGCCACACUGGGACUGAGACACGGCCCAGACUCCUACGGGAGGCAGCAGUAGGGAAUCUUCGGCAAUGGACGAAAGUCUGACCGAGCAACGCCGCGUGAGUGAAGAAGGGUUUCGGAUCGUAAAGCUCUGUUGUAAGAGAAGAACGGGUGUGAGAGUGGAAAGUUCACACUGUGACGGUAUCUUACCAGAAAGGGACGGCUAACUACGUG